GGAUUAGUGGCGAACGGGUGAGUAACACGUGGGCAAUCUGCCCUUCACUCUGGGACAAGCCCUGGAAACGGGGUCUAAUACCGGAUACGACCUGGGAAGGCAUCUUCUCGGGUGGAAAGCUCCGGCGGUGAAGGAUGAGCCCGCGGCCUAUCAGCUUGUUGGUGAGGUAACGGCUCACCAAGGCGACGACGGGUAGCCGGCCUGAGAGGGCGACCGGCCACACUGGGACUGAGACACGGCCCAGACUCCUACGGGAGGCAGCAGUGGGGAAUAUUGCACAAUGGGCGAAAGCCUGAUGCAGCGACGCCGCGUGAGGGAUGACGGCCUUCGGGUUGUAAACCUCUUUCAGCAGGGAAGAAGCGAAAGUGACGGUACCUGCAGAAGAAGCGCCGGCUAACUACGUGCCAGCAGCCGCGGUAAUACGUAGGGCGCAAGCGUUGUCCGGAAUUAUUGGGCGUAAAGAGCUCGUAGGCGGCUUGUCACGUCGGGUGUGAAAGCCCGGGGCUUAACCCCGGGUCUGCAUCCGAUACGGGCAGGCUAGAGUGUGGUAGGGGAGAUCGGAAUUCCUGGUGUAGCGGUGAAAUGCGCAGAUAUCAGGAGGAACACCGGUGGCGAAGGCGGAUCUCUGGGCCAUUACUGACGCUGAGGAGCGAAAGCGUGGGGAGCGAACAGGAUUAGAUACCCUGGUAGUCCACGCCGU
This 700-nucleotide ribosomal RNA is filed under the name Streptomyces sp. KLBMP S0024. RNAcentral describes it as "bacterial SSU rRNA". It matches the Rfam family "Bacterial small subunit ribosomal RNA", at positions 89 to 803 of the family's 1533-position model. Lineage: Bacteria; Bacillati; Actinomycetota; Actinomycetes; Kitasatosporales; Streptomycetaceae. The record is from RNAcentral.